GCCCUCGUAGCUCAAUGGAUAGAGCAGAGGCCUUCUAAUCCUAAGGUUGCCGGUUCGAGUCCGGCCGAGGGCA
RNAcentral lists this transfer RNA (73 nucleotides) under Bifidobacterium choloepi. It matches the Rfam family "tRNA". From Rfam's summary of the family: Transfer RNA (tRNA) molecules are approximately 80 nucleotides in length. Their secondary structure includes four short double-helical elements and three loops (D, anti-codon, and T loops). Further hydrogen bonds mediate the characteristic L-shaped molecular structure. tRNAs have two regions of fundamental functional importance: the anti-codon, which is responsible for specific mRNA codon recognition, and the 3' end, to which the tRNAs corresponding amino acid is attached (by aminoacyl-tRNA synthetases). tRNAs cope with the degeneracy of the genetic code in two manners: having more than one tRNA (with a specific anti-codon) for a particular amino acid; and 'wobble' base-pairing, i.e. permitting non-standard base-pairing at the 3rd anti-codon position. The record is from Rfam by way of RNAcentral. Lineage: Bacteria; Bacillati; Actinomycetota; Actinomycetes; Bifidobacteriales; Bifidobacteriaceae.